AAUCUUCUGCAAUGGACGAAAGUCUGACCGAGCAACGCCGCGCGAGGGAUGAAGGUUUUCGGAUCGUAAAACCCUGUGUUUAGGGACGAACAAGUAUCGGAGUCACUGCCGAUAGCUUGCCGGUACCUGACGAGAAAGCCACGGCUAACUACGUGGCAGACGCCGCGGUAAUACGUAGGUGGCAAGCGUUGUCCGUAUUUAUUGGGCGUAAAGCGCGCGCAUGCGUGCUUUUAAGUCUGAUGUGAAAUCUUACAGCUUAACUGUAAGCGGUCAUUGGAAACUGGGAGACUUGAGUGCAGAAGAGGAGAGGGGAAUACCAUGUGUAGCGGUGAAAUGGGUAGAGAUAUGGGGUAACACCAGUGGCGAAGGCGACUCUCGGGUCUAUAACUGACGCUGAGGCGCGAAAGCGUGGGGAUCAAACA
RNAcentral lists this ribosomal RNA (422 nucleotides) under uncultured bacterium. RNAcentral's name for it is "partial 16S ribosomal RNA". It matches the Rfam family "Bacterial small subunit ribosomal RNA", at positions 360 to 774 of the family's 1533-position model. The record is from RNAcentral.